GACGAACGCUGGCGGCGUGCUUAACACAUGCAAGUCGAACGGAAAGGCCCCUUUGGGGGUACUCGAGUGGCGAACGGGUGAGUAACACGUGAGUAACCUGCCCUUGACUUCGGGAUAACUUCAGGAAACUGGGGCUAAUACCGGAUAGGAAUCCUUGCUGCAUGGUGGGGGUUGGAAAGCUUCGGCGGUUUUGGAUGGACUCGCGGCUUAUCAGCUUGUUGGUGGGGUAGUGGCUUACCAAGGCUUUGACGGGUAGCCGGCCUGAGAGGGCGACCGGCCACAUUGGGACUGAGAUGCGGCCCAGACUCCUACGGGAGGCAGCAGUGGGGAAUAUUGCACAAGGGGCGGAAGCCUGAUGCAGCAGCGCCGCGUGCGGGAUGACGGCCUUCGGGUUGUAAACCGCUUUCAGCAGGGGCGAAGCUUGUGGUGACGGUACCUGCAGAAGAAGCACCGGCUAACUACGUG
This 465-nucleotide ribosomal RNA is filed under the name uncultured bacterium. RNAcentral's name for it is "partial 16S ribosomal RNA". It matches the Rfam family "Bacterial small subunit ribosomal RNA", at positions 28 to 507 of the family's 1533-position model. The record is from RNAcentral.